GCCGAAAUGGUGGAAUUGGUAGACACAAGGGACUUAAAAUCCCUUGCUCGCAAGGGCGUGCGGGUUCAAGCCCCGCUUUCGGCA
RNAcentral lists this transfer RNA (84 nucleotides) under Sphaerochaeta sp. Its description in RNAcentral is "tRNA-Leu". It matches the Rfam family "tRNA". Rfam says of the family: Transfer RNA (tRNA) molecules are approximately 80 nucleotides in length. Their secondary structure includes four short double-helical elements and three loops (D, anti-codon, and T loops). Lineage: Bacteria; Pseudomonadati; Spirochaetota; Spirochaetia; Spirochaetales; Sphaerochaetaceae. The record is from RNAcentral. RNAcentral also lists the same sequence under 2 other names.